Molecule: unclassified non-coding RNA, 253 nt
Filed under: uncultured Phycisphaeraceae bacterium
Lineage: Bacteria; Pseudomonadati; Planctomycetota; Phycisphaerae; Phycisphaerales; Phycisphaeraceae
Description: contains 16S-23S intergenic spacer region
Rfam family: Bacterial small subunit ribosomal RNA
Source: RNAcentral
UACAGAGGUCCCGAGCGUUGCGCGGAAUUACUGGGCUUAAAGGGUGCGUAGGCGGGCCACCAAGUGCUUUGUGAAAUCCCACGGCUUAACCGUGGAAUUGCUUGGCAGACUGGUGGUCUUGAGGUCGGUAGGGGCUGCCGGAACAGUAGGUGGAGCGGUGAAAUGCGUAGAUAUCUACUGGAACGCCCAAGGCGAAGGCAGGCAGCUGGGCCGAUUCUGACGCUGAGGCACGAAAGCGUGGGUAGCGAACGGG